CAUUGUCCUCGCACUACGAAUCGUCGAAAAGACUUUCAAAUUUCCAUCGGUUAGCGUUCUGUCAUUGUUAAUCGAUUAUAUUCGUUCUUUUCGUCUAAAGUUGAACUAUUUAAUGCCGAACGGGGUGAUGUUGUUUUAAAGUGGCGCACUUUGCAAGGCCUGCACCACGUGCUAUAGGCAAAUGUAACAGCCGCUUUUUGGUAACCCCUAUCGACUGCCUGUAAAUGUGACUUCGUUUUACUUCGUCCCAUUGCUAUAUGAUGAUAAAGUGUUGGUAGGGACAUCUGAAUGGAUGUGAAGAAACGCCAACUACCCUGACAGCGUGGGGACGCAUCCGCGCGCGAAGCUACACUUUAGCUUUGUGCUAGCCUGUUUGCUAAAGCUAACAUUUGUUCUGAGUCGAUUUCCUAUCUGACAAGCGUUUUUCCUUUUUACAGUUUAACAGCUCUCAGGAUGCGGCAAGCAACUGAAUUGAAGCGCUUUUGGAGGCAGCAUCAAAGACUGGAGUCGUUAAAGAUGCUCCACUUUGGGUGUGAUUCACCUGACUGACAUCGGAGGUGUCGUCCUGGUUUAAAUUGAGGUAAGAUUUUAGUAUUUUUUUUAAUGACCUUUUGGCUGACUUAAAUGAUGAGUUCAUAGUUCAACAGAUAAUCUGUGAAGAUAACUAUUCGCCCCUAUCUGACAUGUUGGCCUGCGCCACAUCUCGGGCACAAAUGCAAAAUGAGAUUAUAAUUUUGAUUUUCCCUUUUUUUAGGUUAAAAGACCGCACGGUAUGUCAACUUGAAUAUUUUAUCUACUAUAUUUAGCACAAUGAUGACUUCAUAGUUCAGCGGAUAAUCAGUGAUGACUACUUUUCGCUCCUAUCUGAUGCGUGGCUUGAAUAAAUUGUUCACAUAAAAAUGUACGGGGCACUGUUAAAUUUGUUCCCUUUUCUCUCAUCCAGGCUUCAUGAAGCUAUGCUGAAAGAAGUGCGCGUUCACUUGCAUAUGGAGGUUCUAAUUCAAUCUUCUGAUGCAGAUUGGUGAGGAAAGCGAGUUUACUGCGUUCUGCAAAAGUCAUCGCUUCAGGAGCUGAGCCUACCUUGCAUGUAGAUCCCCCACCAUCAAGUGGAUGACCUGAAGCAUAACUGCAAGUUGACUGGCCGACUUGGGAAUUAAAGAGGAAGUGUGCAUCUCAUCACUCACCAGACUCUUCAUAGACAUGGGAGGACCACAAGUGGCUUUCAUUAAUUAUGGGGCAGUAAGGGGACACUUGAACUCACUCGAGAUGAGGCGGUCCUCAAGGAUACCUUGGCAAAAGCAACAAACGUACUAGAAUCUUGAGGUUGAAAGUCCUGUUUGGGCCAUGUGGCAAGUCAAACUCAAACGCGUGAAAGCACAAGACUUGGUUUUUUAAGUCACCUGAGGCG
Molecule: long non-coding RNA, 1408 nt
Organism: Hippocampus zosterae (dwarf seahorse)
Lineage: Eukaryota; Metazoa; Chordata; Actinopteri; Syngnathiformes; Syngnathidae
Exons: 8
Source: RefSeq, a predicted model, not a curated record